RNAcentral lists this small nuclear RNA (110 nucleotides) under Glossina morsitans morsitans. The record is from RNAcentral. Lineage: Eukaryota; Metazoa; Arthropoda; Insecta; Diptera; Glossinidae.
GUAUUUAUCUCGCUGGCAGAACAUUUACGAAAAUUGGAACGACGCAAAGAAGAUUAGCAUGUGGCCUACGGAACGAUGACUCGCAAUAUCGUGAAAUUUUCCAGAAUUUU